UACGAAGGGGGCUAGCGUUGCUCGGAAUCACUGGGCGUAAAGGGUGCGUAGGCGGUGCGUUAAGUCAGGGGUGAAAUCCCAGGGCUCAACCCUGGAACUGCCUUUGAUACUGUCGAUCUGGAGUAUGGAAGAGGUGAGUGGAAUUCCGAGUGUAGAGGUGAAAUUCGUAGAUAUUCGGAGGAACACCAGUGGCGAAGGCGGCUCACUGGUCCAUUACUGACGCUGAGGUGCGAAAGCGUGGGGAGCAAACAGG
This 253-nucleotide ribosomal RNA is filed under the name uncultured bacterium. Its description in RNAcentral is "partial 16S ribosomal RNA". It matches the Rfam family "Bacterial small subunit ribosomal RNA", at positions 524 to 776 of the family's 1533-position model. The record is from RNAcentral.